This is a long non-coding RNA of Capsicum annuum, 746 nucleotides long. RefSeq lists it as uncharacterized. The record is from RefSeq and is a predicted model, not a curated record. Lineage: Eukaryota; Viridiplantae; Streptophyta; Magnoliopsida; Solanales; Solanaceae. The transcript has 2 exons.
AAUGAUAACAUCAGCAGCUGCGUAUUUGUAAUAACAUCAACAAAUCAGCCCAUUGACCCGCACGCAAACCCAACUUUGAUCCAACAUCAAUGACCAAAAUCGAGUGACUCAAACUCGCGCGUUCAACUCAGCCAAUGAUCCUUUAAAUUUUGAAAAACUGGAGAUUCGAAUUGGUACGAAAUAGUAUGAAUCUUGUUUAAUAAACCUUAUCCUCAAUUUGAAAUUCCCAAAUUAUCCAAAAUUCCUCUAUCCUACAUCUCCAAAUCAGUGAAGAAUUGGGAUUGGGAUUCUAUAUAAACCCUUCCCUCUCACUGUUGAUAGGGUUUUUCCAAAACGAAAAAGGGCAUUUGUCUAGGAUUUUGGACUUCAGUCCCCAUCCUUAGAGUUGUGAGAAUUAUGGCUCAAGUGCCAUUUUUGUUACUAUUUUCAAGUCUAGAAAAGUGCUGAAGUCAUCGUCAAUUCGUCGUCCGGGAGAGCUGCCCCAAAGAAGGUUCAGGUGCUCAGUUUCAGCAGCAUGAGUGAUUUCAAGCAUCUCCAUCUACAUUUUGAUAGUUGGUGAGUCAUCAUAGUUUAGGGACCUAGUUAUUCAGAUUUUCAGUUUAUUAAAGCAGAUUGUUCAGUUAUUUUCAGUCAGUUCGAGUCAGCUGAGGGUCUGACCCAGCGGCUCUAUAGUUGCCAGUAGUAGAGGCUUGUCAGACUGCUAGUUGUAAUUUAGAUUUCAAGAAUUAGUUGUCCAGACUUUUAAG